RNAcentral lists this ribosomal RNA (407 nucleotides) under uncultured bacterium. RNAcentral describes it as "partial 16S ribosomal RNA". It matches the Rfam family "Bacterial small subunit ribosomal RNA", at positions 30 to 526 of the family's 1533-position model. The record is from RNAcentral.
AUUGAACGCUGGCGGCAGGCCUAACACAUGCAAGUCGAGCGGAGCGGCGGACGGGUGAGGAAUACAUCGGAAUCUACUCUGUCGUGGGGGAUAACGUAGGGAAACUUACGCUAAUACCGCAUACGAUUGAAUGAGCCUAGGUCGGAUUAGCUAGUUGGUGGGGUAAAGGCCUACCAAGGCGACGAUCCGUAACUGGUCUGAGAGGAUGAUCAGUCACACUGGAACUGAGACACGGUCCAGACUCCUACGGGAGGCAGCAGUGGGGAAUAUUGGACAAUGGGCGAAAGCCUGAUCCAGCCAUGCCGCGUGUGUGAAGAAGGUCUUCGGAUUGUAAAGCACUUUAAGUUGGGAGGCGUUACCAACAGAAUAAGCACCGGCUAACUUCGUGCCAGCCGCCGCGGUAAUUC